CCUACGGGUGGCUGCAGUGAGGAAUAUUGGUCAAUGGGCGGGAGCCUGAACCAGCCAAGUCGCGUGAGGGACGACGGUCCUAUGGAUUGUAAACCUCUUUUGUCGGGGAACAAAGGCGCCCACGGGUGGGCGGAUGAGUGUACCCGAAGAAAAAGCAUCGGCUAACUCCGUGCCAGCAGCCGCGGUAAUACGGAGGAUGCGAGCGUUAUCCGGAUUUAUUGGGUUUAAAGGGUGCGUAGGCGGGAUGCCAAGUCAGCGGUAAAAAUGCGGUGCUCAACGCCGUCGAGCCGUUGAAACUGGCGUUCUUGAGUGGGCGAGAAGUAUGCGGAAGGCGUGGUGUAGCGGUGAAAUGCAUAGAUAUCACGCAGAACCCCGAUUGCGAAGGCAGCAUACCGGUGCACAACUGACGCUCAGGCACGAAAGCGUGGGUAUCGAACAGGAUUAGAUACCCUUGUAGUC
RNAcentral lists this ribosomal RNA (459 nucleotides) under uncultured bacterium. RNAcentral's name for it is "partial 16S ribosomal RNA". It matches the Rfam family "Bacterial small subunit ribosomal RNA", at positions 338 to 795 of the family's 1533-position model. The record is from RNAcentral.